CCAUGGAAAGCAUUCCUUAAAGCAGGGAAAAAGCCUAAAAUGUCGGCACGGACAUGCAACGUGUGAUUUAGUCACCGCCGGUUGUUAAAUUCCGAGAAGAAAAUAAGAAAAAAAAGAAAUCAAAUGAUCAUCUUCUUCGAUUUUCACUUCUUGCUUGCGCUCAGAUGAGAUGACGAGGUGCUGGUUUUUAUUAGCAAUUUCUUCGAAGCUUUGUUUAAGAUGGUUUUGAGUAAGUACAAUGGCGAAUGGUUGCAAGAGAGAAGAGGCGGGCAUAAUCGGUGCGAUUUUGAACUCGGUGGCUCGAAGCCAGCAGGGAUUUCGUGUCGGUCGUCGAGGAAGGAGGUUUCCUCGUAAUUUUAAGCUUAGAUUCUUCCAUUGGCUGGUGGCGCUUCUUCUAGCUGUGUUCUUCUUGCUCUAUUUCGCUACCUUUGACCUUAAAUUACUCUCCAAUGGUAAUGAGGAAGAAAGCAACCUUUCCUUAUCACAAGAAGUACAUCAAAAAAUUUCCGUCCACGAUGCCGCCCUGACGCCACCCAAAAGCAAGCGUCGUAAGCAGCAUUUUCCUUGUGAAGUUGGGCUUGCUGCAGCAGUCGAUAAUAUUUUAGAGCCCAAGAAUUAUAUGAAUUUCACACAGUUCUCACUAGAAUAUGUAGAGAGGGAGAAGAAUCCUUUGCCUGCCAAUUCACUUGAGAGUAGAUUUGGAGGUUAUCAAACUCUUAAGGAAAGAGAGAAAUCCUUUGUUGCAAGGAAUCAAACUAUUCACUGUGGUUUUGUCAAAGGCCAGCCAAGAUUUUCAAGUGCUGGUUUUGAGUUGAGUGAAAAUGAUAAGGCAUACAUGAGUACUUGUCGGGUUGCAGUAUCUUCUUGCAUUUUUGGGAGCUCUGACUUUCUGAGGAGACCUACUAGCAGAUUGAUUAGUGAAUUUUCCAAGAAAAAUGCGUGUUUUGUUAUGUUUGUGGAUGAGCAAACGUUAUCAAAACUGUCUUCAGAAGGACAUAUUCCUGAUGAGAGAGGAUAUGUUGGUCUGUGGAAAAUUGUUGUUGUGAGGAACUUACCAUAUUUGGACAUGCGGAAAACUGGAAAGGUGCCAAAGUUUUUAUCACAUCGCCUCUUUCCUUCUUCUCGGUAUUCAAUUUGGAUUGACAGUAAGAUGCGACUUAAUACUGACCCAAUGCUAAUCAUUGAAUUCUUUUUGUGGCGAAUGAGAGCAGAAUAUGCCAUUUCCAACCACUAUGAUCGCCAUUGUGUUUGGGAGGAGGUACUGCAAAAUAAGCGUCUAAAUAAGUACAACCAUACAGCCAUUGAUGAACAGUUUAUGUUUUACCAAUCUGAUGGCCUCAUGAAGUUUAAUCCUUCAGACCCAAAUACUCCUCUUCCAAGUUAUGUGCCCGAAGGUUCUUUUAUUAUCCGGGCUCAUACACCAAUGUCAAAUUUAUUUUCAUGCCUGUGGUUCAAUGAAGUUGAUCGAUUUACCUCACGUGACCAACUAAGCUUUGCAUAUACUUACUUGAAGUUGAGGAGAAUGAAUCCAGAUAGGCCGUUCCAUCUAAAUAUGUUUAAGGACUGUCAGCGUAGAACGUUAGCAAAGUUAUUCAGGCAUCGGACGGUGCCUUCUCCGCCACCUCCUUGAUUAAUCAGAAAAUUAUGCUAGUUUUCUGGGAGCGCAAAUGCAGUCUAUGCAGGGAUAUCCACACUGAAAGUGAAAAACAGGAGUUAUCUAUGUAGUAUACCUGCAACCCUUCUCUUCCAGGAAUCUUUACACAUGGACUUUCAAGCUUGGCAGGAAUUAACGUUGGGCCAGUUUAUUCAGAUAUUUGUAAGUGCAUAAUACUAUUGGCAGAGUAGCCUUUUGCUGAAGAAAUGGAGCGUUUUGGUGGCCUUACGAAAUGGUUCAAUGUGACUUCAAGCUAAUAAAGAUCUAUUGCUAAAGCUUAAUUAUCGUGGGUUGUAUUGAGAAUUUGAGGCUAUCGGAGUGAGGCUUAAGUUUAUAGAAUUUUUCCAUAAUCAUGGUUCUGUGAAUCAUUUGGAGAUGAGACCAGAGAGUGUUAAUUGUGUGCAGGGGAAAAUUCCAUUGGGAUUACUCUGCCCUGUUUUGUCUUAGUUCCAAGUCGACUCCUAAAUCCCCACCCAGAAGGAAAAAGAAGAAAGAAAACAAAAAUACAGUUAAAAAAAAAGAAGAUGCCUAGUGCUUUCAGAACUUCCCAUAAUGCUUUGUAAUAUCCUCAUAUUCUUUCAAUUUUGAAUAGAUAAAGAAACUAGCAGUCGCAUCUGAAGACUUGACUGUCAUCGUGCAUGCCAGUCAUGCUGCUGCUGUCUUGUUUGCUGGAGAGGGGAUAUGCUGUUCUCUCUUGGUAAGAAAGAAAGGUAAUAAAACUGUGUGAACAUGCAAAUUCUGUUGAUGACAAUUUCCUACCGCCUGCAACGAAGUACGUGCUGUUCAGUUACACAGUAAGCCAAGUUCUGGUCUGUUAUGGUUUUUACUUACCAAUUCUCAUGAAUUCUGUGUUGUUUCAGCUCCUUGUAACUCUAUAAAUAUAGUCUUGUCUUAGCCUGCUGAGC
Molecule: non-coding RNA, 2559 nt
Organism: Theobroma umbraticum
Lineage: Eukaryota; Viridiplantae; Streptophyta; Magnoliopsida; Malvales; Malvaceae
Source: RefSeq, a predicted model, not a curated record